UUUUCCGCAAUGGGCGAAAGCCUGACGGAGCAACGCCGCGUGAGGGAGGAAGGUCUUUGGAUUGUAAACCUCUUUUCUCAAGGAAGAAGUUCUGACGGUACUUGAGGAAUCAGCCUCGGCUAACUCCGUGCCAGCAGCCGCGGUAAUACGGGGGAGGCAAGCGUUAUCCGGAAUUAUUGGGCGUAAAGCGUCCGCAGGUGGUCAGCCAAGUCUGCCGUCAAAUCAGGUUGCUUAACGACCUAAAGGCGGUGGAAACUGGCAGACUAGAGAGCAGUAGGGGUAGCAGGAAUUCCCAGUGUAGCGGUGAAAUGCGUAGAGAUUGGGAAGAACAUCGGUGGCGAAAGCGUGCUACUGGGCUGUAUCUGACACUCAGGGACGAAAGCUAGGGGAGCGAAAGGGAUUAGAUACCCCUGUAGUCA
RNAcentral lists this ribosomal RNA (419 nucleotides) under uncultured cyanobacterium. RNAcentral's name for it is "bacterial SSU rRNA". It matches the Rfam family "Bacterial small subunit ribosomal RNA", at positions 362 to 796 of the family's 1533-position model. The record is from RNAcentral. Lineage: Bacteria; Bacillati; Cyanobacteriota.